UUGUAAUUUGUAGAAGGUGUCUCGAGAUUUUUUCAAUGGUCCAAGUCUUUUGGAACUGAGCGUCAUAGAGGGUGAGAAUCCCGUAUGUGGCCGAUUGUGAAUCUCGUGUGAGACCCUUUCGACGAGUCGAGUUGUUUGGGAAUGCAGCUCUAAAUGGGUGGUAAAUUUCAUCUAAAGCUAAAUAUCUGUCAGAGACCGAUAGCGCACAAGUAGAGUGAUCGAAAGAUGAAAAGAACUUUGAAAAGAGAGUUAAACAGUACGUGAAAUUGUUGAAAGGGAAGCGCUUGCAAUUAGACUCGAGAGCGGGAGCUCAGCCAAUUUCUUUUUUGGUGUAUUGUUCCGUUACCGGGCCAACAUCAAUUUCGGCGGCCGGAUAAAGGUUUUGGGAAUGUAGCUCUUUUCGGAGGAGUGUUAUAGCCCAUUUCAUAAUGCGGCCUGUCGGGAUUGAGGACAUUGCGCAAUUUAUUUUGCUAGGAUGUUGGCGUAAUAGUUGUCAGCGACCCGUCUUGAAACACGGACCAAGGAGUCGACCAAUCGCGCGAGUGUUUGGGUGUUAAACCCAAGCGCGCAGUGAAAGCAAACGUAGGUGGGAGCCUUUUUACCGGGGCACACCAUCGACCGAUCUUGAUGUCUUCGGAUGGAUUUGAGUAUGAGCACGGUCGGUCGGACCCGAAAGAUGGUGAACUAUGCGUGAAUAGGGUGAAGCCAGAGGAAACUCUGGUGGAGGCUCGCAGCGGUUCUGACGUGCAAAUCGAUCGUCAAAUUUGCGCAUAGGGGCGAAAGACUAAUCGAACCAUCUAGUAGCUGGUUCCCGUCGAAGUUUCCCUCAGGAUAGCAGCAACGAAAUUUGAAACAGUCUCAUGAGGUAGAGCGAACGAUUAGAGGCCUGGGGGCAAUAAUUGCCUUCACGUAUUCUCGAACUUCGAAUAUGUGAGAAGUCCUUGUUACUCAGUUGAA
RNAcentral lists this ribosomal RNA (957 nucleotides) under Platygramme impudica. RNAcentral's name for it is "eukaryotic LSU rRNA". It matches the Rfam family "Eukaryotic large subunit ribosomal RNA", at positions 143 to 1099 of the family's 3401-position model. The record is from RNAcentral. Lineage: Eukaryota; Fungi; Ascomycota; Lecanoromycetes; Ostropales; Graphidaceae.